RNAcentral lists this unclassified non-coding RNA (294 nucleotides) under uncultured fungus. Its description in RNAcentral is "partial contains 5.8S rRNA and ITS2". Lineage: Eukaryota; Fungi. The record is from RNAcentral.
AACGCACAUUGCACUGGUUGGACCUCCAAUCAGUAUGCCUGUUUGAGUAUUGGUAAUAUCAUCUAUAUGCGCAAGUAUAUGACAUGAGCCGUAAUUGCAGAAUUUGGCUUUGAACACAUUGAUUGACAGCGGGUGAGACGAAUCGGUCUUGAUGUAUCAACAAGAGCAGUAUGCCUACGAUGAAGCAUCAUCAACCAAUGAGUGUCAUCAGCAUUGAUGUCGACCUGUCACGAGUGUCACACCCCACAUACAAUAACCCAUCUCAAAUCAGGCAAGAUUACCCGCUGAACUUAA